GGUGAGGAAUACAUCGGAAUCUACUUUUUCGUGGGGGAUAACGUAGGGAAACUUACGCUAAUACCGCAGACGACCUUCGGGUGAAAGCAGGGGACCUUCGGGCCUUGCGCGAUUGAAUGAGCCGAUGUCGGAUUAGCUAGUUGGCGGGGUAAAGGCCCACCAAGGCGACGAUCCGUAGCUGGUCUGAGAGGAUGAUCAGCCACACUGGAACUGAGACACGGUCCAGACUCCUACGGGAGGCAGCAGUGGGGAAUAUUGGACAAUGGGCGCAAGCCUGAUCCAGCCAUACCGCGUGGGUGAAGAAGGCCUUCGGGUUGUAAAGCCCUUUUGUUGGGAAAGAAAAGCAGCGGGCUAAUACCUUGCUGUUCUGACGGUACCCAAAGAAUAAGCACCGGCUAACUUCGUGCCAGCAGCCGCGGUAAUACGAAGGGUGCAAGCGUUACUCGGAAUUACUGGGCGUAAAGCGUGCGUAGGUGGUUGUUUAAGUCUGUUGUGAAAGCCCUGGGCUCAACCUGGGAACUGCAGUGGAAACUGGAUGACUAGAGUGUGGUAGAGGGUAGCGGAAUUCCCGGUGUAGCAGUGAAAUGCGUAGAGAUCGGGGAGGAACAUCCAUGGCGAAGGCAGCUACCUGGACCAACACUGACACUGAGGCACGAAAGCGUGGGGAGCAACAGGAUUA
This 679-nucleotide ribosomal RNA is filed under the name Stenotrophomonas chelatiphaga. RNAcentral's name for it is "bacterial SSU rRNA". It matches the Rfam family "Bacterial small subunit ribosomal RNA", at positions 105 to 780 of the family's 1533-position model. The record is from RNAcentral. Lineage: Bacteria; Pseudomonadati; Pseudomonadota; Gammaproteobacteria; Lysobacterales; Lysobacteraceae.